AAAAAUUGUUCAGUACAACCAAAGUUCAUUACAAUAGUACACUCUACUUCUUCUUUCGUUCAACUUUAUUUCUCUCAUUCUUUGGCGGUGGACCCUUCCUUCUUGCAAGUCUGCCGGUAACCUCAGUCUCACUGAUUGAACCAUCAUUUAGCUUUUUUGUGGCGUAGUCCUACAACAGAACUCCAUAACGUCUACGGUGUUUGUCAAUAUCAGUAAGAUCUUCCUUUGGUAUAGACAAAUACA
Molecule: long non-coding RNA, 243 nt
Filed under: Nicotiana benthamiana
Lineage: Eukaryota; Viridiplantae; Streptophyta; Magnoliopsida; Solanales; Solanaceae
Description: long non-coding RNA (NBEN_LNC038209)
Source: RNAcentral